RNAcentral lists this long non-coding RNA (1061 nucleotides) under Pongo abelii (Sumatran orangutan). RNAcentral describes it as "lincRNA". Lineage: Eukaryota; Metazoa; Chordata; Mammalia; Primates; Hominidae. The record is from RNAcentral.
GAGGACUGUGAAGCAAUCCGGGCGAGGCCGGGUGUCUGUUCAACUCUCCCGCGUAUCCUGUGUUUCGUCGGCGGCGGACAGUGUUCUGUAAUGUGUCUCCCUUUGCCCGAGCUAAAGGUUUUCCUCGACGGAGUCUUUAGAAUACCGUGGUAGAGGCAGUCUCCACACCACUGCUCGAACAGCUCUAUGAAGAGGCCUAUGUGGAGAGGAGAAAAAGCCUCCACCAACAGCCAGCACCAACUUGCCAGCCAUAUGGCGUCUUGCUCUGUCGCCCAGGCUGGAGUGCAGUGGUGUGAUCUCAGCUCACUGCAACCUCUGCCUCAUGGGUUCAAGCAAUUCUUCUGCCUCAGCCUCCCGUGUAGCUGUGAUUACAGACGUGUGCCACAAUACCCGGCUAAGUUUUGUAUUUUUAUUAUUAUUUUAUUUAUGUGUUUAUUUAUUUAUUUAUUUAUUUUGAGACGGAGUCUUGCUCUGUCGCCCAGGGUGGAGUGCAGUGGUACGAUCUCUGCUUGCUGCAGCCUCUGCCUCCCAGGCGAUUCUCCUGCCUCAGCCUCCCGAGUAGCUGGGAUUACAGGUGCCCGCCACCAUACCUGGCUAAUUUUUGUAUUUUUAGUAAAGACGGGGUUUUGCCAUGUUGGCCAGGCUGGUCUCGAACUCCUGACCUCAAGUGAUCUGCCUGCCUUGGCCUCCCAAGGCAGGGAGCCUGCUGGGAUUACAGGCAUGAGCCACCACGCCCAGUCAAAAUGUUUUAAAUGUUUCUAUACCAUCAUCUGUGUCAAAGAUCAAAUGGUCUCUCUGUAGCUGGAACAACAAAAACUCAAACGGUCCACACAGUGGUUCAUACCUAUAAGUCACCAAACCUAAACUAAGUUGUUAUCUGACCUUCUGGAAAUGAGAAGAGAUAGAUAACUGCCAGUUUCCCAAACAGGCCAGUUUAAAUCUUCCUGUAAGCAUGAUAAGGAAGUUCCCUCUGAUUUAAUCCUUACACACGAAAAAGUAGCCGUAAAUAACCUGAUGUUAACUCAUCAGUUAUUUAUUUUUAUUUUAUUUUAUUUUAUUUU